Molecule: long non-coding RNA, 271 nt
Filed under: Fukomys damarensis (Damara mole-rat)
Lineage: Eukaryota; Metazoa; Chordata; Mammalia; Rodentia; Bathyergidae
Description: lncRNA (ENSFDAG00000027457.1)
Source: RNAcentral
UUCGUUUUCAAAAUGAAGAGGGUGGAUAUUGACUGAGUUUCUUAGUAAGCAAUAACAGAUGAGUUAGCUGGAAUUCCUUCUUUGAAUCACAUUCUUGAGGAGAACAGAAUGCAAAAUAUCUCCAACACUUUGGAUACAUUAAGUUCCAGUGCCAUCCAUUUGCUCCUGGGGGAAAACGGCAGCUCACAAGGCGAACCUGGGAUGAGUAACCUGUCCCUCACCAGUACGCUGCCUUCAGAUGCACUGAGGACUCAGCCCAAAUCAAAGCAGG